Molecule: ribosomal RNA, 408 nt
Filed under: uncultured bacterium
Lineage: Bacteria
Description: partial 16S ribosomal RNA
Rfam family: Bacterial small subunit ribosomal RNA
Source: RNAcentral
GACGAACGCUGGCGGCGUGCUUAACACAUGCAAGUCGAACGAAGUGGCGAACGGGUGAGUAAUACGUGAGUAACCUGCCCUCCUUUUUGGGAUAAGCCUUGGAAACGGGGUCUAAUACCGAAUAAAGGGGGAUGGGCGCGCGGCCUAUCAGCUUGUUGGUGGGGUGAUGGCCUACCAAGGCGGUGACGGGUGGCCGGCCUGAGAGGGUGACCGUACAAAUUGGGACGGAGAUACGGCCCAGACACCGACGGGGGGCAGCGGUGGGGGAUAUGGCACAAUGGGCGAGAGAGUGAUGCAGCGACGCCGCGUGGGGGAUGAAGGCUUUCGGGUUGUAAACCGCUUUAAGCCAUGACGCGGUAGUGGCAGAAGAAGCACCGGCUAACUACGUGCCAGCAGCCGCGGUAAUAC